This 130-nucleotide non-coding RNA is filed under the name Zea mays. RNAcentral's name for it is "Bacterial large subunit ribosomal RNA". It matches the Rfam family "Bacterial large subunit ribosomal RNA", at positions 2325 to 2452 of the family's 2925-position model. Lineage: Eukaryota; Viridiplantae; Streptophyta; Magnoliopsida; Poales; Poaceae. The record is from Rfam by way of RNAcentral.
CGACAACAUAGCUCUAUUCAGCAUGAGUGUAAUGGUAUAAGCCUGCCUGACUAUGAGACCGACUAAUCGAAUAGAGACGAAAGUCGGCCAUAGUGAUCUGGGAGUCCUAUGUGGAAGGGCUCUCGCUUAA